AAGUCGUAACAAGGUUUCCGUAGGUGAACCUGCGGAAGGAUCAUUACAGAGAGGGGUCCCGCGCCCCUGGGGACUCCGGUCCCCGCCUCUACACCCCGUGAUUUCCGUUACCAAAUGUUGUUUUGGCGGGAUGUCGCCCUCCAAGGCCCCGCCAACACCCUAGCAAAACUCGUUUUAUGCGUGGCAGUCCGAGUACCGAUAUAUAAUGAAUCAAAACUUUCAACAACGGAUCUCUUGGUUCUG
This 243-nucleotide unclassified non-coding RNA is filed under the name air metagenome. Its description in RNAcentral is "partial contains small subunit ribosomal RNA, internal transcribed spacer 1, and 5.8S ribosomal RNA". The stretch from base 1 to 46 matches the Rfam family "Eukaryotic small subunit ribosomal RNA", at positions 1786 to 1831 of the family's 1831-position model. The record is from RNAcentral.